ACCUGCGUGGCUCAGUUGGUUGGGCAUCUGACUUCAGCUCAGAUCAUGAUCUCACUGUUGGUGGGUUCGAGUCCCACAUCAGGCU
This 85-nucleotide transfer RNA is filed under the name Felis catus (domestic cat). It matches the Rfam family "tRNA". From Rfam's summary of the family: Transfer RNA (tRNA) molecules are approximately 80 nucleotides in length. Their secondary structure includes four short double-helical elements and three loops (D, anti-codon, and T loops). Further hydrogen bonds mediate the characteristic L-shaped molecular structure. tRNAs have two regions of fundamental functional importance: the anti-codon, which is responsible for specific mRNA codon recognition, and the 3' end, to which the tRNAs corresponding amino acid is attached (by aminoacyl-tRNA synthetases). tRNAs cope with the degeneracy of the genetic code in two manners: having more than one tRNA (with a specific anti-codon) for a particular amino acid; and 'wobble' base-pairing, i.e. permitting non-standard base-pairing at the 3rd anti-codon position. RNAcentral also lists the same sequence under 4 other names. Lineage: Eukaryota; Metazoa; Chordata; Mammalia; Carnivora; Felidae. The record is from Rfam by way of RNAcentral.